RNAcentral lists this long non-coding RNA (471 nucleotides) under Mytilus galloprovincialis (Mediterranean mussel). The record is from RNAcentral. Lineage: Eukaryota; Metazoa; Mollusca; Bivalvia; Mytilida; Mytilidae.
GACGACUGGAUGCAAAGCAAUACUAAAUAAAUGCUCAGUAGGAAUUAAAACGAAUUAAAAUAAAACAUUUAAUUUUGGCAAAUUAUUACAAUUUCAUAUGAAAAAACAAUAAUAGACGUUAAAGUUAAUCCAAUCAAUGUUCAGCACCACCAUUCAUCAACAACACUUCGACCACACGUCUGUAUUCAGCGGGCAACGAUAAAUCUGACAUCUACACCAUUGUGAAUUAAUCCGUAUCCAAAUUAUCGGUUAUAAACUCUAUUGCUCCUUUAUUGUCCUUUAAUCAGUCGAUUAUAUUGUAAAUUCGUAUAUCCACAGUAACACCGGCAAGGAACAUACACUGAAAAAUAAAACUUCCACAGAAAAUGAGACUGAAACUACUGAUUAUAAAUAUUGGGUGGGAUAAAUAAUGGGAGGGUUAGUUUUCGGCUAUCGACGGCAGAAUGAAAAACUUAAAAUUCUUUAAAUCAC